UCAGCGCUCAGGAGCAGGCAGACACUGGAAGUGCAGAAGAGCUCUCGCAGUGGGGUGUGUCCGGUCAGAUGAGGGGGCCGGUGGACAGGGGCAGACUGCUGGGGUUGACAAAGAGAUGCCAGAUACCAGGACAAGGAGUGGCAACAGCGCAGUGAAAAAGACUUUGACAGAACACUCAAGCAAACUGACGGAAUAACUCUGGAAAAAAGAUUACUGCACAAAAGGAUGUGGAUGGAAACAACAGUAGCAGCUCUUGUGUACAUUCCACCAGAGUCUUUAGUUACUUAAUUGAGCUCAUUUUUGCCACGCUAAAAAAAAAAACAGGUUGUGUCCAGGUUUAAUUAAGUGGAAAUUUAUA
Molecule: long non-coding RNA, 358 nt
Filed under: Lepisosteus oculatus (spotted gar)
Lineage: Eukaryota; Metazoa; Chordata; Actinopteri; Semionotiformes; Lepisosteidae
Description: lncRNA (ENSLOCG00000021312.1)
Source: RNAcentral